AUUGAACGCUGGCGGCAGGCCUAACACAUGCAAGUCGAGCGGAUGAAGGGAGCUUGCUCCUGGAUUCAGCGGCGGACGGGUGAGUAAUGCCUAGGAAUCUGCCUGGUAGUGGGGGAUAACGUCCGGAAACGGGCGCUAAUACCGCAUACGUCCUGAGGGAGAAAGUGGGGGAUCUUCGGACCUCACGCUAUCAGAUGAGCCUAGGUCGGAUUAGCUAGUUGGUGGGGUAAAGGCCUACCAAGGCGACGAUCCGUAACUGGUCUGAGAGGAUGAUCAGUCACACUGGAACUGAGACACGGUCCAGACUCCUACGGGAGGCAGCAGUGGGGAAUAUUGGACAAUGGGCGAAAGCCUGAUCGAGCCAUGCCGCGUGUGUGAAGAAGGUCUUCGGAUUGUAAAGCACUUUAAGUUGGGAGGAAGGGCAGUAAGUUAAUACCUUGCUGUUUUGACGUUACCAACAGAAUAAGCACCGGCUAACUUCGU
RNAcentral lists this ribosomal RNA (483 nucleotides) under uncultured bacterium. Its description in RNAcentral is "partial 16S ribosomal RNA". It matches the Rfam family "Bacterial small subunit ribosomal RNA", at positions 30 to 506 of the family's 1533-position model. The record is from RNAcentral.